This 253-nucleotide ribosomal RNA is filed under the name uncultured bacterium. RNAcentral's name for it is "partial 16S ribosomal RNA". It matches the Rfam family "Bacterial small subunit ribosomal RNA", at positions 524 to 776 of the family's 1533-position model. The record is from RNAcentral.
UACGGGGGGGGCAAGCGUUGUUCGGAAUUACUGGGCGUAAAGGGUUUGUAGGUGGCUUGCUAAGUCAGACGUGAAAUCCCUCAGCUUAACUGGGGAACUGCGUCUGAGACUGGCGAGCUUGAGUGCAGGAGAGGAACGCGGAAUUCCAGGUGUAGCGGUGAAAUGCGUAGAUAUCGAGAGGAACACCUGCGGCGAAGGCGGGUUGCUGGGCUGACACUGACGCUGAGGCGCGAAAGCUAGGGGAGCGAACGGG